UUAUCUCUGUAGAGUCUGCAUAUCAAUAAGCGGAGGAAAAGAAACUAACAAGGAUUCCCUUAGUAACGGCGAGUGAAGCGGGAAGAGCUCAAAUUUGAAAUCUUCAAGGUUCUACCUUGACGAAUUGUAGUUUAAAGAAGUGUUUUCUGUUAGAUGAGUAGCAAAAGUUCCUUGGAAUGGGACAUCAUAGAGGGUGAGAAUCCCGUAUUUGGUUAUUCAUUCUAGCUUUGUGAUACACUUUCAAAGAGUCGGAUUGUUUGGGAAUGCAGUCCAAAAUGGGUGGUAAAUUUCAUCUAAAGCUAAAUAUUGGCGAGAGACCGAUAGCGAACAAGUACCGUGAGGGAAAGAUGAGAAGAACUUUGAAGAGAGAGUUAAACAGUACGUGAAAUUGUCAAAAGGGAAGCGUUUGACACCAGUGUUGUUUUUCCGAAAAUCAAUUACGAAUGGCUUGAUUUUGUGUUGUAUUGACCUUAUCAGCUUUCUGCACUUUUUUCGAGUCUUUCUUAAUGCACUUUUCGGUUAACAAGUCAACAUCAAUUUCUUUUGUUGUAAAAGAGUAUUCGGAAGGUGGCUUUCUUUUCGGAGAAAGUGUUUAUAGCCCUAUACUUCUACAAUCGGAGAGGUUGAGGUCUGCAGCGUAGAUCCUUCGGGGUUAGAUACAUUUGUGCUAAGUUGUAGCUUUUCAUAGACAACUUGUUGACUAUGUUUAGUCAUGCGGCUUACUCGCUUAUGCUAUUUUACCUACGCUUAGGAUGUUGACUGAUAUGUAGUCGUA
This 775-nucleotide ribosomal RNA is filed under the name uncultured Neocallimastigales. RNAcentral describes it as "partial large subunit ribosomal RNA". It matches the Rfam family "Eukaryotic large subunit ribosomal RNA", at positions 24 to 644 of the family's 3401-position model. Lineage: Eukaryota; Fungi; Neocallimastigomycota; Neocallimastigomycetes; Neocallimastigales. The record is from RNAcentral.